UACAGAGGUCCCAAGCGUUGUUCGGAUUCACUGGGCGUAAAGGGUGCGUAGGUGGUGAGGUAAGUCGGAUGUGAAAUCUCCGAGCUCAACUCGGAAAUGGCAUUGGAAACUACCUUGCUAGAGGAUCGGAGGGGGGACUGGAAUACUUGGUGUAGCAGUGAAAUGCGUAGAUAUCAAGUGGAACACCAGUGGCGAAGGCGAGUCCCUGGACGAUACCUGACACUGAGGCACGAAAGCUAGGGGAG
This 245-nucleotide ribosomal RNA is filed under the name uncultured bacterium. Its description in RNAcentral is "partial 16S ribosomal RNA". It matches the Rfam family "Bacterial small subunit ribosomal RNA", at positions 524 to 768 of the family's 1533-position model. The record is from RNAcentral.